RNAcentral lists this ribosomal RNA (434 nucleotides) under uncultured Lachnospiraceae bacterium. RNAcentral describes it as "partial 16S ribosomal RNA". It matches the Rfam family "Bacterial small subunit ribosomal RNA", at positions 341 to 792 of the family's 1533-position model. The record is from RNAcentral. Lineage: Bacteria; Bacillati; Bacillota; Clostridia; Lachnospirales; Lachnospiraceae.
ACGGAAGGCAGCAGUGGGGAAUAUUGCACAAUGGGCGAAAGCCUGAUGCAGCGACGCCGCGUGAGUGAAGAAGUAUCUCGGUAUGUAAAGCUCUACCAGCAGGGAAGAAAAUGACGGUACCUGACUAAGAAGCCCCGGCUAACUACGUGCCAGCAGCCGCGGUAAUACGUAGGGGGCAAGCGUUAUCCGGAUUUACUGGGUGUAAAGGGAGCGUAGACGGUUUGGCAAGUCUGAAGUGAAAUGCGGGGGCUCAACUCCUGAACUGCUUUGGAAACUGUCGAACUAGAGUGCAGGAGAGGUAAGUGGAAUUCCUAGUGUAGCGGUGAAAUGCGUAGAUAUUAGGAGGAACACCAGUGGCGAAGGCGGCUUACUGGACUGUAACUGACGUUGAGGCUCGAAAGCGUGGGGAGCAAACAGGAUUAGAUACCCUGGUA